AAGGUUCUAGUAUAAUUGGUAAUACACUGCUUUGUCAAGGCAGUAUUGUGGGUUGAACCCCCACGUACCUUA
This 72-nucleotide transfer RNA is filed under the name Tridentiger bifasciatus (Shimofuri goby). RNAcentral's name for it is "tRNA-Asp". It matches the Rfam family "tRNA". From Rfam's summary of the family: Transfer RNA (tRNA) molecules are approximately 80 nucleotides in length. Their secondary structure includes four short double-helical elements and three loops (D, anti-codon, and T loops). Lineage: Eukaryota; Metazoa; Chordata; Actinopteri; Gobiiformes; Gobiidae. The record is from RNAcentral.